Molecule: ribosomal RNA, 254 nt
Filed under: uncultured bacterium
Lineage: Bacteria
Description: partial 16S ribosomal RNA
Rfam family: Bacterial small subunit ribosomal RNA
Source: RNAcentral
CACGUAGGGUGCGAGCGUUGUCCGGCAUUAUUGGGCGUAAAGAGCUCGUAGGCGGUGUGUCGCGUCGGCCGUGAAAACCUGCAGCUUAACUGUGGGCGUGCGGUCGAUACGGGCAUCACUGGAGUUCGGCAGGGGAGACUGGAAUUCCUGGUGUAGCGGUGAAAUGCGCAGAUAUCAGGAGGAACACCGGUGGCGAAGGCGGGUCUCUGGGCCGAUACUGACGCUGAGGAGCGAAAGCGUGGGGAGCGAACAGG